CGGGAGCUAAGUUUCCACGAGUUUAGCAAGAGAGAGAGAGUGAGGGAUUCUGCUGCUUGGAUUGGAACAAAAGACCUUGCAGGAAAAUAUGGAUGAUGGGAUGAUAUUUGAGGUUUGGAAGGAUAUAAUCAUAGGAAAAAGGUUAAGUAUGGUAUUUCUCUGCGUCUCUUUGGUUGUAGCUUCUCUUGCCCUUUUAUACGCUUUGCGAGCUCACUUUCCCACACUCGUGCACUCCGGUAUCAAGCUGUUUUGGUCUGCUCCUCCGGCUUUGAGGUGGUCGUUUCCUUUUGGUCGUUUUGCCUCCCAUUGAGAUGACAUGAUUUCUUCAUUCUAUGUAGGUGCCGAGUAAGGAGUUAUUUUAGGUGCCAG
This 369-nucleotide long non-coding RNA is filed under the name Prunus persica (peach). Its description in RNAcentral is "long non-coding RNA (PPER_LNC002678)". Lineage: Eukaryota; Viridiplantae; Streptophyta; Magnoliopsida; Rosales; Rosaceae. The record is from RNAcentral.